Long non-coding RNA from Marmota monax (woodchuck), 7576 nucleotides. RefSeq lists it as uncharacterized. Lineage: Eukaryota; Metazoa; Chordata; Mammalia; Rodentia; Sciuridae. The record is from RefSeq and is a predicted model, not a curated record. The transcript has 3 exons.
CCGGCUACCUGGGCGGGUUGCCCGGCGGAGGGAGCCAGGCCGGGCCAGGCCGCCUCACACCCGCGGUGGCGGCGGCGGCGGGGGCGGGCCCUCCGCGCGCCCUCUCCGGGGAGCCACUCCCUGAAGAGCACUGCCAAAACUGAGGAUACCUAUGGUCAUGGUGGAGCCUGCCUGACCCACGUUGAACCAAGCAGUUGGGUGACUGCCAGGACAACUUACUGCAUUUCAGAGGAAUUUUACUGAGGAUGAAAAUUUACUGAGGAUGAAACAGAGAUUCAGAGUUCUACGACUCACCCCAAGAACCACAUAACUAACAAAUGGAAAUUUGAACCCAAAUCUGACUUCAUCCAUUUCUGUCUCACAGCAGAGUCCUGGCUUAGGUGAGUCCUGGUGGUCAGUAGUCAGCAUGGAAGCUAGCUGGCUAAUAUGCAGGGGUGAAGGAAGGCAUGCCCACCGCUGACCCUGGGCACAGGGAACCCGGCAUAACACCAGUGCUCACAGAGCAUGGCGGAUUGGUUUAAAGUGGUGCCGCCCCUGUCUACAGCCUGGUAUGUAAAGACAAUUGGGAUGAGGACUAAAGAUAAAACAUACUAGGAGACUGACUUCAAAUGGAGUAUAAGAAGGCUUCUUUGGGUCUUUAGAAUUCAGCAGAGGCCUUAAGGAUGUGAAUAGAUGGUCAGGUGCAUUACUAAGGGUGGGCUGGAGGAAAACACUUUCCAGGCUGGGGUAAAAGCAUGUACAAAGGUCCGGAGGCCAGAAAGAGGUGGUUGAGUUUAGGCCGAGAAAGGGCUGGAGUUUACCUAGUGACAGGAAGCAUAGGGAAGGUGAUGGGAAGCAUAGGGAGGGUGAUGGGGCUGAGCUUUCUCUGCCAAUGCUUGCAGCCUGCAGGCUCUAAUGCACUUUCAGACUGUUUGUCUAUUUUCUCGGAAUUUCCCAACAUGACCCCAAAAGUUCCUUGCUUUUACUCUUGCCCCUGAAGCUAGACCCCCUAGGGGCUCCAGAAAUCUCGACCAAUAGGAGUUUGUUGCCAAGCCUACAGUCGGCAACAGGGCCCUAUUUCUCUUUGGGAUUUCUGGGCUAGCAUUCCAGGCCUCAGGAACCUCCUUCCACCAAAGGGGAUUCAGGAAAAGCAGGGCACACAGAGGGUGUGGCUGGUGUGGGCUUCCCCCAGCUCAGCAUAUAUAUGGGUGCGUAGGUGUUACUGGCAACAUGUGCAGCUGCACUGUCUGGGAGGAACAGCCCGGUACCCACACAAAGCACACGCCUGUGACAUCACCCAGACCAUCCCUGCUUGGGCCUAUUUCUGUGCACACUCAUGUUUCAGCAUGCCCUGGCCUACGCCAUUCUUGUGCCUGGAGUGUGGGGGACUGGGAAAAAUCCAGUCCAACUACAGCCCAACUUCCACACUCUGGCCUGUGGGCUUGUCUUUGCAGCUGUUUUAUUUUAUAACAACUUAGAACAGUGGUUGGCAUAUUGUGAAUGCUUUGUAACUAAUUUAUCCAUGUUGGCUCAUUUCUUCCUCAUUACAGCUCUGGGAAUUUUCUUAUUCCCACUUUACAGAAGAAAAUCUGAGGCCCAGAGAGAUGAAAAGACAUGUACAUGGUCACACAGCCAAUAGGUGGCAGAGAUAAGAUUCCAAGCCAGGCAUUCUGGCUCCAGAGUCAGUGCUGUAUCACCUCCCAUGUACGAACACUGUCAAUAUCCUCACCCCUUUCCCAAGCACUUCUAUCUGAUGCAUUUUCCUUUUUUAUUUUGUUCAGUGUUGUCCAGGUUGGGCUCUUUGGGAAGUGGACUCUAUGACAGGUUAGCGGGCAGAGUGUUGAUUAGGGAAUGCCCCUGGGAUCAGCGCUGUGGAGGGGACAGGAAGGAAACAGAAGUAGGCACAGGGGGAAAUUAAGCUGUGAUGCAGGCUUGAUGACAGCCUCAGCCAACCCCCAGGGAGCUCUGUUAUCGGCACUGAAAUGGAUUUGGGUUGUCUGGGAAGAGUGCAGCUUUGGCCACAGGGCUCUGUGCAACUGAGGUGAUCACAGGGGAUUGGCAGCUGAGGUUUCCUGCCACCAGCUCUCCCAGCAGUUGGGGCAACAAGGCCUUCCUGGAAGGGGUGUCUCCUUGGUGGUACAUCACUAUGCUCACCACUAAUGUAUUUCUUUCCUGCCACUUAAAAAAAAUCAGAAUACCUUAAACAAAAAUAUUCUACUGUAAAAAUAGGAUAUGAGCCAGGUACGAUGACGCAUGCCUGUAAUCCAAGUGGCUCAUGAGGCUGAGUCAGGAGGAUCGUGAGUUCAAAGCCAGCAUCAGCAACAGUGAGGUGCUAACUUAGUGAGACCCUGUGUCUAAAUAAAAUACAAAAUAGGACUGGGGAUGUGAUGUGGCUCAGUGGUUGAGUGCCCCUGAGUUCAAUCCCUGGCGCAUACACACAAAAAGGGAUAUGAGAUUCUAAAAGGGGGACUAUAAUAUGGCUAAUAAGGGUUGAUGCAGCUGUGACAGCAUCAAAUAUGGCUGAGCUUCCUGGCAUCCAAAGCAGUUACACUUUCUAUUCUGAUUUCUUGGGCAAGAAUUUUUUUUCCUGAGAUUAAAUUAUAAGACAAGUUUCUCACGUGGAUACUUAUUUGGCUGAAACAGAAGACUCUUCUCAGUAGAUUAAUAGCAAAUGCUAACGCAGUUUUCAUUUGUUCUCUGUAAUGAUGGUGAAUAAAUAUAGGAGGGGUAAUUUAAAAGCAUAGUUAAAUGAAGCCCCUUCCACAGAGGAGGCAUAUUUACUGACUUGCAGUGUCCAAUUUAAUCCAUGCAUAAAACUGUGUUCGUUUUCUUUAAAUUGUUCUUUUUACUCAGUUUCCUUGGGAGACAUGCUAAGUAGCAGCACAUGGCCAGUACUUCCUAAGCGUUCAUCUUGAUGUACCUUGAGCUUCACACCCUAACCUGCAAUCUAGGCUCUUGACCUCUGGCCUCCAAAUCUACCUAUGGUUCCCACUUAGUCAUUGGCUUCACAAUUUUUUUUUUUUUAAAUGCAGUGUUAGGGAUCAAACCAAGGGCCUCACUCAUGCCAAACAAGUGCCCUACCACUGAGCCACAUGCCCAGCCUGUGCAUCACUUUUCUGAGGUUAUGUCUUCCUGCUUUUCUCCUCACCGGGUGUGUAUUCACAGGCCCUCAAGAGCCCUGUUUACUCACUCCAGGCAAAAUCAUACCCAGCCCAGUGGCUCCCAGGGUUUCUGCUCUUUCCAGUCUUUGCUACCUUCUUGCUGUUUGGCCCCAUUGAGGCUGUGCUUCAUGCUACCUACUGUGAUUGCUUCAUAGAGGUCGAAUUAUGGAACUGAAGAAUGAGAAGGGGAAACUGAGACCAGGGCAGACCUGCCCCUGCCUCCCCUUGUCUUCCAGCAGUCAUCCCUGGUGCCACCUCUAGAUUGCUUAGACAGCAGGGCUGAAUCAUACCAAGUUCCCACUCCUCCAGGAGUGGGUAUAGAAAUGCCAGCAGCACACACUAAUUCCCUGUGAUAUAAGGGCAUAAGAGCAUAAGAGACACCUGGCCUUAUCUAGACUUGGUGGCUGUGGGGAUAGAGCAAAGUAAGAGAUACUGUAAAUGCCUAAAAGAUAUAGCCCCUUCAAACAGCAAACCAACACUCAUUUUCAAAAUAAGUUUAAGGUGUUUUGCAGGAUUUUAUUUUUGCAAUUAAAAUACUAACAUUUUUAGAGAUGUAUGGUUAAAAGGUCCAGAUGUAAAGCUAUUCAGUGACAUAUACUUUAGAUCACAUUUUAUUUAAAACAAUUAUUCAUUUUUGCAUAUCAAUUUCUAGCAUAUUUCCAGCAACUCUUCCAUCAAUCUUUGAUUUCCAUGUAUUUUUUACUGAGAGCCUUUUUUUUUUUAAACGCAUGCCUUUAUUUUAUUUAUUUUUAUUUGAUGCUAAGGAUCAAACCCAGUGCCUCACAGGUGCUAGGCAAGCACUCUGCCACUGAGCUACAGCCCCAGCCCCUGAGAGCCACUUUUUGAGUCAUCUAAUAUAUUUUCUCAAAACACAUCACCUUCGCUGCCUUUUAAGUGGUUUGAGCGCACUUUGAAAAAUCAAUUUUAUUGAGGAAUACAUGCAAAAUGCACCUAUUUUAAAUGUAAAGUUUAAUAAAGUUUGACAAAUAUAUUUCCUUUGUGAACUCCACCCAAUCCAGAUGCAGAACUUUCCCUUACCCCAGAUUUCCUCUUGCCCUUUGCAGCAUCCCCCCUUCGCCCCCCCACUCUCAUCAGGCAACCACUGGUUUACUUCCUGUCACUGCAGGUGAGUCUUGCCUAUUCAUAAACAGAAUCGUAGAGUGAUUCAUCCAUGUUGUUGCAGACAGGUGCUGUGAUGCUGUCACUGGAAAUUUUAAGUAUUGUUACCUUCUGGUAUACUGCUAAAACAGAUUUUUCCCCCUCCAUUUCUCCUGUAGCUAUAAGUGAUUUUCAUAAUAAUCACUGUAUCAUUUUAAACAUUUUAUGUAGAAUCUUAAAUGUGCAUAGACAGGGAAGUACGUAUGGUGUGCUUCCAUGGUCAUCCAGCUUUGGCGGUGGUUAUUGUUUUCUGUGGUGCUGGGGAUGGAACCCAGGGCCUCACAUAUGCUGGACAAGGGCUGUACCACUAAAUUAUACCUCCAGCCCCAGGGAACUAGGCACACUUGUUUCAUGCCAAACUUUACCCACUAAACCCCUCCCAUGUUAUUUUGACACAACCCUCAACUCUUUGUUAUCCAUAAAUAUUUGUAUUUAUAAAAUAUUGUUUUUAAAAAAUAUAUACAUAAGUACAAGAUAAUUACCAAGCCUAAAAAAUUUUUAAAAAGUCAAUUGCUAUUUAGUGACUUUCAAAAGUCUUGUUUACAUGGAAUACUUGGGAUUGGUGAGGAAUGAUUACCAAAUCUAUGUAAACUUCUUCACCUCCUUGUUUACUCGUUUUGUCAGGGGUCUACUUAUAAGCAUCUAAAACUAGCUUGACUGAGAUCAUUUCAGGGUAGUGUUUCUUCCAAAAAAGUGCUUUUCAGUUCAAGUUAAAAAGUGUCUCAUUAUAUGAGGGAAUUCUAAGGACUGAAAUAUGUCAACUUGUUAUUUUCCCAGAAGACAAUACUCCCUCGUCCCUAUGGUGGAAAUGCCCAUAUUCAGUGUUUAUGCCAUUUAGAAAGUCAUUUUCUCAAUUACUGGAUGUGGGAUUGAGACAAAGAAGUGAAGAAUGGGGCUGCCUGGUUUCCAGGUUGGGGGUCUAGUAGAGGUAGUGCCUUUCGCUGAGGUAGGAAAGCCAGGCCUGACAGUAGUUCCAGAGUUGAUGUUCAGGUGCCCCUGGAUAUCCCCUGCAGAGGUUCAAUGUCUGGAGUUCAGGAGAAAGGCUGGAGGUAAUCAGGAGCCAUCACCCUUAAUUGUGACUGAUAUCAAGAACAAGUAGGAUAGGAGCCAUAUACCCUUAAGACCUGAUGUUAGAGGUGACUCAGGAACAGCCUGAUUGGAAUAACGUAAAACCAGGAGGUGAUGAGGUGGUAGCCAUAAAGGCAUUUUUAGAAGUGAGCAGUCGCAUCAUGUAAGAUUCCUUUCAUGUGAAGUGUCCCCAAAAGACAAAUUUAUAGAUACAUUAUGGAAGCUGGAUAUGGGAAUGCAGAUGACUGUAAACAGGCAUGAGGAAUCUUCGUUGGGGGGAUGGGAAUGUUCUACAACUCAUUGAUGGUAAUAGAUGCACCAGUCAGAGUCACUAAAAUGUCCUUGUAAACUUGAUUUGCUGAUUUUUUGAUAUGUAAAAUGCUUCAGGAAGAAUGUUUCAAAAAAGGGUCAGCAGCACCCAGUGCUAGAAAGAAUUUAAGAUGCAGAAUGAAGGGCCCAUUUAUUGGUCACUUAGUCACUUGUGAUUGUGGUCAAAUUGCAGGGAGGGGAAUGGAACAGACAAGGCAGGACAGAUGCUAGUUGCAGUGGGUGCAGCAGAUGACUCAUGGCAGGUGCUUGUUUGUGAAACAAAGGAGAAACAGAGGUGGUGGUUGGAAAGGCUGAGAGUUGUGAAGUUUCUUUUUUCAUUUUUUAAUGUGUCAGCCUGAGGUAGACAUGACAGCUUUUGGCAGGGAGCAUGGACAAGACUUGCUGACCAGAUGUGGAGGGGAGCACAGAGAGGAGUCAUCUCCCAGAGGUAUAGCUUAGGUAGCAUGUGGGGGCCCACAGGGUUUCUUAGACUCUGCCCAUCUGGCCUCUGCUCUUGAACGUGACUGGAAGUGAGAUCUGCUGCAUGGUUAGGCAAACGGGGAGGUUUGCUUCAGGCUCAAGCACCCUUCAAGGUCCUUUACAUCUAUCCCCCACCUCUCCUUAUCUAGUUAGUUCUCAUCCUGUGACCAGGUCAGCUUCCCAAUUCCCGCCUCUGUUCUCCCAGGUCUGCUGACAUUGCCUGGGAUGCCCUUCAUAGCUGUCUUGAGCAAUGUCUAGUUGCUCUGUGCCUGACCUCAUUAGACUUGUAAGGUCCUUUUCAAAAAGGUAGGCUCUACUUCCUGCUCAAGGUCUUCACCUGCAAGGCCUAUUAUACACGAUUUCCAGUUGUCAACUAGUUAAGUCCUACUCAAGUCCCAAAUCUUAAGGUCCACUUUCUUGUUACAUAGCUACCAGCCAUAGUGUGUGCACCAUAGUUGUAUACCAGAAGAGCCUGAUGGUAUUCACACUCUGUGGUCCAACUAUCUCAACACUGCAAAAUUUAAAAAAUACUUGGUUACAAUCUCUUGCUCCAAAGCAAUGGUGGAGAUACAGCCCCUUAUUCCCUGGGGUGAGUACUGCCUUCCUUACUAGCCGGUGAACUACAGGCGGCCAAUGAUGCCAAAGUUUCUCAACUGUGGACCCAGCACCAGUCCUGUCCCCCAGCUCCAGGGAGAACCAACAUCAUCAAGGAAAUGAAUAUGCUUGCUCAUGCCAACAAGCUAGAGGGCCCAGGACCCUUUCACCAAGUGACCAAUACUAACAACUCUGGCCUUCCUGUCCCCUUGACCUGGAGACCUCACCUUUCAUUCUUAGUCCCAGUCUUAACUAACCUAGGAUAAUGCAAGAAAACAAAUUGUAUAGGGACUAGCAUAUACUUAGAGCAGUUAGAAGUGUUCACUGACUACUCCCUCAUUCAACCAAUCAAUGCAGGGAGAAAUCUUCAUUCCACCUGGGAAGGGCUUGUAGGAUCUGGUCCUCAGUCUGGCUCACUACUCUCUUUUCAUCCUAUCAGCUUAGCCACAUGAACAAAGCCUAAGACAGAUACCUCCUGCUUCUGGACAGUACACAUGGAAAACACUCAAAAAUCUGCCUCCCCAAUACUUAGCUCCAUCUUGCUCAACAGCAUGGCUUCAGAUAGUUCUUGCAUGCCACCUGUUUUUGUGGAUUUCCUACACUUUCCCUUUACUGGAUGUGGGCUUUGUAUGUCUUCCAUUCCACUCCAUACCCAUUAAAAGUAGGACACAUGAACCCCCUUCUAGGCCGGACCCAGCCCCAUUAGCUCCGUGGGAGGAGAGUCACCCUUGCAGUUAGAUCAUAUCCCAUAAGAAGUCCCAGCCUCAGAGCCCCAUAUCUGGCCUGGGGUCCUCAGUAACAAAGAGGCAGACACAAAAAGUUUCCGU